GUGCCAAGCCACAGCACGUAGACUCAAAUUGGAAUGGUACAAAGAAGAUUAGCCUGGCCCCUGCACAAGGAUGACAUGCAAAUUCAUGAAGCCGUCCAUAUUUUU
This is a small nuclear RNA of Acomys russatus (golden spiny mouse), 105 nucleotides long. NCBI's taxonomy places the organism in Eukaryota, Metazoa, Chordata, Mammalia, Rodentia, Muridae. The record is from RefSeq and is a predicted model, not a curated record.